Molecule: ribosomal RNA, 496 nt
Filed under: uncultured bacterium
Lineage: Bacteria
Description: partial 16S ribosomal RNA
Rfam family: Bacterial small subunit ribosomal RNA
Source: RNAcentral
GAUGAACGCUGGCGGCGUGCCUAAUACAUGCAAGUCGAGCGAACAGACGAGGAGCUUGCUCCUCUGACGUUAGCGGCGGACGGGUGAGUAACACGUGGAUAACCUACCUAUAAGACUGGGAUAACUUCGGGAAACCGGAGCUAAUACCGGAUAAUAUAUUGAACCGCAUGGUUCAAUAGUGAAAGACGGUUUUGCUGUCACUUAUAGAUGGAUCCGCGCCGCAUUAGCUAGUUGGUAAGGUAACGGCUUACCAAGGCGACGAUGCGUAGCCGACCUGAGAGGGGGAUGGGCCACACUGGAACUGAGCACGGGCCCAGCCCCCUACGGGGGGCAGCGGGAGGAAAUCUUCCGCAAGGGGGGAAACCCUGACGGAGCAACGCCGGGGGGGUGAGGAAGGUUUUCGGAUCGUAAAACCUUUUUUUUAGGGAAAAAAAAAUUUUUAAGUAACGAUGCACGUUUUGACGGUACCAAAACAGAAAGCCACGGCUAACUACGG